Molecule: vault RNA, 122 nt
Filed under: Dicentrarchus labrax (European seabass)
Lineage: Eukaryota; Metazoa; Chordata; Actinopteri; Moronidae
Description: Vault RNA (ENSDLAG00005004410.2)
Rfam family: Vault RNA
About the family: This family of RNAs are found as part of the enigmatic vault ribonucleoprotein complex. The complex consists of a major vault protein (MVP), two minor vault proteins (VPARP and TEP1), and several small untranslated RNA molecules.
Source: Rfam by way of RNAcentral
GCAUCGGUUUAGCUCAAUGGUUACUUCGUGAAAACUUACAUACUCUCUACACGGUCCGCAGGUUCUGUCAGCAGCUCCUUCGGGCCGCAGGAGUUCGACCAUGGGCGCUGUCCGAUGUUUUU